AAUUGUAAAUUGUUUGUACAUCUUAAAAUACUCAUAACUGCUUUAAAAUUAAAAUAUAAUAAAAAGCCCAUGAGGUUGUCUAGAUAAUAAUAUCAACCUUUAAAUUUUAUAAAAGGUCAAUUCACUCUAUUUUUUAAACUAACGGAGCUACACGUGUUUGUCUGAUCGUAAAAUGUACUAUGUUGAGCACUUUUAAGACGGAGACAACACAUGCGAGUAUCAUAUGUCCUCUUAAGACUUUGAAAUUCAAACCAAGUAUUAGUGAACUCAUGUAGUAUUAAUGGUUAGAUUUUCAAUUUUUUUCAGUGACCGUAGAUAGAAUAAAUGAAAAUAUCAAUAAUAUACAUUCUAAAAGGUAUUGUUACACAUCAGUAUUAUUAUCUAAAACAAGCUUAUGUAAUUUGGGAUUGGAUAGUAAAAUUACAAGCUGUAUGGAUGGAUCACAGUCAAAUAGUCAAUGGAAUAUUUGCAGAACGUGUGAAUUGUUGUUCCUUUUUUCGAUGGUCAAAUGCAUCAAGUCACAAUGUCAAUCAUUAUACAUCACAUUAUAUCCUUUUUAUAAUAACUAUGCAAACCGGUUUAAUCGUACCACCUACCUGAAUAAUCAGGCAUUCAGUUGGGAAAUUUAAAAUUUUUUUUUAUAUAUAUCUAUUUUAAUGCGGUUAUUUUUCAUUCAAUGCUUACUAAGUAAUUUAAUUUCUUUUAACAUACAAAAAUAACCCACCCAUGUGAAUGCAUAGUUGAUAUAUCAUUAUAAACUAUUGUUACGAAAGCUAUGAAUUAACUAAUGUUAAUUCUGACAAUAAACACAGCUGGUAGAACAUGCGAUAUGUUGUAGUUAUAAAUUAGUAUACUAUAGUUAUUAUACUGUAAAAUCUCAACAAGUAAUGGAAAACAAUUACUUUAUAUCAAUUGUAUAUUCAUUAACUUUAUGUUUUAAGAAUAAUCAAAGAAUUAAAUUUAAAUUAAAUAAUAUUUUAAUAAUUACAUAUGCCUGGAUUUUGAGUUUAAGGGGCAUAUUUAUGAACAGAACCGUAGCAAGGUUUAUCAGCUCUCCUUUAACAUAUUAUUAACUUUUGCCCUAAUAAAUUUUUUUUAACCUCCAACUACAACAAUACACAUACAACAUUUCUGUUUUGUAUUUAUUAACUUAAGCCUGGAGGCACUCAAUUUCUUCCAAUAGUUCAGUAUGAUCAGUCUUCUUGUGAUAUUUGGAUAUUAGGUGUAAAUAUACAUAGUUAACUAAUUAAUUCUAUUUAAAUCAACAAGAACCACAUUAAUGUGUUAUGUGACCCAUCGGUGUGGAUUAAACGCAUGUUUUUAAAUAUGUUUACAUACUUUGUUAGAUGCAGUUUCUUUUUUUUCUUUAGCAGACUUGUUUUUACUUUUAUCAUACACACUUGGUGAAAACUGUAAAAAGACAUACACAGUCAACAUGUUAAGUUCAUUUUUUUUUUUUAGUAUCUUCAAACUUGGUCUUUAGCAAUCAUGAUUCCGAUUGAUUCUUAUCAAAGUGUUAUUGCUUAUAUACUUUUGACCGUUCAAAAUUUUCAAUUUUUUUGUUUUGAGAUUAUUAAUUUUUACGUGUAACUUUUUUUCCAAACGUUUCAAAUUAUUAACAGCAACCUAAACAUCAUUUUGCAAAAGAACUGGUCAGUAGCACAAGAGUAUACUCUAUUUAUCUAUAACAUAGGUGUAAUCUGGUGAGGUAAGGUUUCCAUAUUUAACAAUAACUGAGAGGGCAAUAAGUGUUAUUUUACCUUAUAUAUUUUUAGUUUUGCCACUGUUUCCCCAUCCCCGUCCGAUAAUUUAUUGUCUAUGCUGAAGGGCUAGGAUAAACUUGAGUUCCAUCUAAAAUUAAACUGAAGUUAUAAUUUUUAGGAACAUUCUUGGGACAUAUUUCCAUAUAAGUGAAAUUGGAAAAAUAUAAACAUUUUAACUUAAAACAAUUAACGGUAAAUAUUUUUUGACAUAUAAACGAAAUAGACUGAAAUUGUGAAAUGUAAUAAAAUUAUAAACAAAAUAAAUAAAUUAAAAUUAAUUCAUAAAAUGAAAAACGAAUUCGUUAAUUUCACGUUAAUUAAAAAAGCAAUGUAGUAGUAGAAAGUUCAUAGAUAAGUUAAUGAAAAUCCAAAUGUAACUAGUUAAGUUAAAAAGUUAAUAUAAAAUAAACUUUUUAACUCGUUAAUGCCCAGCCUUGAUUAUAGGUAUUAUGUAUAUUUUGUUCUAAUUUUUGCUCCCCUGGCCUGGGCCAUUCUCGCUAAGCACUUGCUACGGCUCCGUUUAUGAAUACACACAAAUUGUAUGCAUUAUAUAAUUGUAUACAUAGUACCUACUUAUUACAACUCAUUGAGAUUAUUUAGAAAGUAACUGAAUAACUAAUACGUCAUGUUCAUAAUAUUAGAUUUAACAUUAGCAUUUUUUUUUUUACAGUUUCCAGUGUUUUAAAUCCGUGCAGUGACCAGUGUUUUCCAAAGCCAAACAGUUACCAGUGUUCACCAAAGCCGAACAGUUACCUGUGGUUUUCAAAAGGCAUUCAGCCAAUAUACAUUUUUAAUUUUUGUGUACGUUAAUAGAACUUUUAAAUUGUAUUUUUGUUUAAGACAUUUUUAUUUUUUAUUUUUUGUAUAAUAUAAAGGUUAUUGUUUGUCCA
Aphis gossypii (cotton aphid) is the source of this 2653-nucleotide long non-coding RNA. RefSeq lists it as uncharacterized. The record is from RefSeq and is a predicted model, not a curated record. The transcript is spliced from 2 exons. NCBI's taxonomy places the organism in Eukaryota, Metazoa, Arthropoda, Insecta, Hemiptera, Aphididae.